RNAcentral lists this ribosomal RNA (236 nucleotides) under uncultured bacterium. RNAcentral's name for it is "partial 16S ribosomal RNA". It matches the Rfam family "Bacterial small subunit ribosomal RNA", at positions 103 to 334 of the family's 1533-position model. The record is from RNAcentral.
CGGGUGAGUAACACGUGGGUAACCUGCCCAUCAGAAGGGGAUAACACUUGGAAACAGGUGCUAAUACCGUAUAACAAUCGAAACCGCAUGGUUUCGGUUUGAAAGGCGCUUUUGCGUCACUGAUGGAUGGACCCGCGGUGCAUUAGCUAGUUGGUGAGGUAACGGCUCACCAAGGCAACGAUGCAUAGCCGACCUGAGGGGGUGAUCGGCCACAUUGGGACUGAGACACGGCCCAA